GGAAUAUCUUCGUGAAUGGACAAUUGUUUGUAUUUUUGUUGUUGGGUUGAACUUGAUUUAACAUGCAGCAAAGGGAAAGAAAGGACAAAUCCAUCCCAUUUUGCCACAACAAACCCCUUUCACCUUCUUUUUUCUAUCUCAUGUUGAUUGAAAGUUAGAGGAGUAAUGUAAUCCAUAUUAAAAAAUGUAUUUGUGAGAACACACACCCACGCUUUCUUCUCUUUAACAUUGAGUUUGUUCAUUUAGUGUGGUAAAAUCAGUAUGGUAGGCUGCCUGGAUGAAAAAAAAUAACACAUGAACAGCAGCCUCUGAAGCAAUAGAAACGGUUGGACUUUGCACAUCCGGAUGUCACAUGGCACCCUGGGUUGACUUUAAAGGAGGGUAGGAGGAAGGAUCAACAUCACUGUUAGGAGGAACCCACUUUGGCCUCAGAGUGAACUCCCGACUGUACGCACACUUUUCUGCACAUGAAGCCCGUGGAGGGUGUGGACUUGAAGACAAGGCCGGAAAGGGAGCAAAGUGGAAAUGACAGUACACUCCCAGCCUGCAUGAACACAAGUCCUCCUUUUUUCCUUCACACAUGCAUUUCAUUUAGGCCAGACAAGUUUAUGGUAUCAUUCAUUUUCAUGAGGUAGCAGCAUGUGACAGGUCCAGCAGCAUCAGACUGUCGGCACAAAGAUGACUAUUUCUUUUUUCUUUUUUUCUGUCUGUGGAUCUUAGGCUGGCACUGCCCAUACACAAGCAGCUUAAGAAGGUCAAUGGAGAGCCGCUCUGCUUUGGAAACAAGUCUUGCAAGAUAUCUGGAGAAAACAUCAAGACUCUGAUCUGAUAUUAGCCUUAAUGUUAUUUUCAUUUCACAAUUUAAAUGUACUGUAUCGAUGCUCUUUGUUCUCUUAGAGUUGAAAUGCACUAUUUUCUCAAAGUUAUCAGAGCCUGCAGUGCGUAUCAAGCUCCUAACUUUAGGAAAUAAACAGCCACUGUGGUUUUUGAAAAAACAGGUGCAUGGGGUCAGCUCUACCUCUUGAUUCAGCUUAUUUCAUGAAACACCGACACAAACAUGGAUGUGUGGAGUGUACGCUCCAUAUGGAAGUUUUUCUAUGCUGUUGAAAAGCCCAUUUAUGUUUGCACACAUAAGUUCUUGUAGUGCACUAAACUUGUGCUUGAUGCACCUCCAGAGCAGAUGGCUGGCCAACAGGCCCCAAACCCCAAAUGCUUUCAAAAAGACCUAAACCUUUGUGAAAUUCAAUAGAACUUUGUGUCCCUGACUAGACAGACAAAUCAAUAAAGAAAGUUUCAUCAGAAAAUAUCACCAUCUGUUGUUCUGUCCACACUGCAGGAGUAUGACCUGUUGUUAACUUGUAGACUUGGCUAAUAAGAUGAGUUUUUUUUUAUCCAGAAGAACUCAAACCGGCAACCUCAGGCAGAAGAUUAGCAGGUGACCUGUAGCACCGCCAUUCCACAUGUUGUGGAAAUUUGGGGUAAGGCUGUCUGAUCGAAAAUACUGUCCAUGUGUGAUAUUUACAAUUCCGGGUGGUCUUUAGUGCAGAUCAAAGGGCAGAGAAUCACUCCAGACACCUCACACCACAGGACAAUCUGACAAAAAAAGGACUUGUUCUUAAAACCUUAAGAAUGGAUUUUCGUAUGUACCAAAGUCCAAAAACGUACUUCAGGUUUCUACUAUGUUCUUCCAAGUUUUUUGUGUAAACUGGUUGUCCUGACUUGAUGUACUGCAUCUUGUCAGUACAGUCACUUUAUUGCAAACUGAGAAUUUACUUUAACAUAAACACAAGCCAGCAGUUCAGCUUUAAAUGUAAACUGAAAUGACUAAAAAAAUUGCUCUAUGUCAGCAACAUGGUGAGUUAAUGCAUACUGAUGCAAUGAUUCAAUCCCCAUGUCAACUUUCAUUACCUGCUGAGCCGAUCCUGCUGUCACUCCAGGUCAAGUGAUAGAGGAGUGUAUAAUAUCAUUGUCCCCAAUCAGGAAAGUCUUUUUUUCUUUUAUGUUAUUAUGUGUUUUUGCUCACACACUCUAUUGAUCUUUCACAAUUUACUGCUCCUUGGUGAAAGUUUAAGGUCGCGUUCACACUAGCCUUGUUUGGUCUGGACUUGAAAGACUUUUCAGUUUGAUCCGAACCAAAAUUUCAUGUGUGAACACUCCCCCAGUCCACGGUCCAGACUUUUGUUGGACCAAACAAUCGGACCAUGGUCCCCCCAAAAAGUCGUGACUAGGUGUAGUUCAAAGUGAACCAUGGUCUGGUUUGCUUCAGGUGAGAACGUAACCAGACUUUUAAUAGGACCAAAUACAGGAGGCAAACCAAAACAGCAGGGCAUCAUGGGUUGAAGACAGAUGUGUGUUACCAGCUAAGAGAAUAGGAAGCGGAGGGUCUGUGAGCGCUAGCAAUGCGACAGAGAGGAGGAGGAAGCUGACGCGUUAUAAUUUAUCACACCAAAACAUCGGAAUAAACUACCGGCAAAAGGACUGGUCACGUCGGAAAUCAAUACUGCAGUCAUUAAUGAGUCACUUCUCAUCCCUUGGUCUACUGGCUAGAAUUCACUUAAUGUUAAAAACUUACUCAUCUUCUGAGCUAUAAAUACACAGAAAACACAUUAUAGGCACCCACUUUCUCAUUGGUAACGUGUCCUCAGAAUCAUGUCAUACAGUCUAUGGUCAUGGUUCACAUGUCUCCAUCUGUCCUGGUUGCAGCGCCAUUUCAAUAUAAUAGCUGUCAUUGUGAUUUUCCCUAACAAAUUUUCGGACCAAUAGCUGAACAACCUGUAGACUGCAUGUGAUUUGUUUACAAAUAAAGUACAUUUUGACGAAUGGAAGUAUAACCAUAGACUGGACCAAAACUGAAUUGCAACAAUGUAUCAUUUCUUACCAUUGACCAUGGUCCAGACUUUUGGGUGUGAAAGCGACCUACAUUAGUCAGUGUUACCCCGAAAUAUCCACCGCAUCCGGAAUGGUUUCGAUCUGGAACGGCGGUGAUUUUCACCUUCCGCCAAUCCCUACCAGAUCCAUUUGUACCGGAUUACAGACAGCAGGAAUCGCGAGAACUCACAAGAACCUGCAGAUUCACGUGCAAUCGAGUGAUAACAAGUUGUCUCUAUAGCCACAUAACCAUAUAAGCAGUGGAUUGUGUCCUCCCAGAGAAGGAAAUCCACUUCUAGAUUUUAGAAUCAGCAUCUCUUCAUCCAUGGUGUCAUCGGGGUGAAAUGCCAUCUAAAAGCCUUUCACUUUUUCGUCCCUGCCUGUUUGCAUGGUGUGAAAUACAAUCCCCCCGAAACACAAAAUUAACUUAACUUGAAUGGUUACAAUCAGCUGCAAUCAGCGGAUACGGUCUUUUUGUAGCUGUUAUGGAUGCUGUACAGCUUUGUUCAUAUUCGUUUGUCCAGUCUUGUCGUUUUGCUGUUUUUAGCUUUUUGGAGUUAGAUGUAUUAGUAACAAUUUCCUAACCUGCUAACAACUCUUCAUAAGAGCUUAAAACAGCCUUUCAGUAAAAAUGUCCAUCUUUAUCAUCAAUCAGGCAGAUUACUUUUUAAAACAGAUAAUGUGCAACCCUGGAGCACAUAUUUUUGGACUGUAAGGACAGACAAAGUCAUUCCUUCGAAACCCUCUCACAAUAAUCUUUAGUUCAGUAGAUCACUAACCUCAACACCUCAGAGUCAUCUCCAAAUAAUCUCCCCCGAUGUCAGCGCCGAGCUCUGAAAUCCUCACAAAUUCCUUUUUCUUUUAUCAGUGUCAACAGCUGACAGUCUUUGAGGCAAUAUGCAUGCAGCCUUCCUUUAAAAAAUUAAAGCUGUUUGUAUUUCAAAAAGAAUAAUUCACUUACAAAAACAGACAUAUGUGAUGCAGACGGUUGGACUGACAGCUUUGCAUACCCCCCCUUUUUUUGAAAUACCAUUUAAUGAUCAAAAGGGAAAAUAGACAAAAAAGAAAUAACGGUGGAAGAACAAAGUUAGUAUUGGCAUUUUUACCACAGUGGAUGUUGGUUGCAAACAACACAUACAAUUCUGUUAUUGUUGUAUUCUUCAGAUCAAAGGGGGCUUUAAUAAGGCCAUUAUAAAUACAUCUGAAAAAUCACUCUGAUAUUCAGCAAACAAAUCAAUACAGGAUGUGCAGUGUUCAUUGGUCUUUUAUUACAGCACUGUGGGCCAUCUCUGAGGUACUAUAGCAUAAUGAAGAAAAACCUUGCAGGGCUUUGGCAUCCCUGCUGUGUUCAAAGUCAGUCAUAUUCAGCAGAACAUUAUAAUUGAAAUAAAGGUAAUGUCUCCAUCCCUUUGAGCUAGAGCUUACAUUCUUGUUGUUGUUGUUGUUGUUUACUACCAAUGCGCACAAUGCUAGAAGACUAUUGUCGAAGAAUAUGAUCAGCUUUGGGGACCUUCACAUGCUCCAUUGUCAAGUUCAAUAAGACCUGUGGUGAUGUGGAUUGAUUGACUUACCAGACUCUAGGACAAGUCUGGAUCAUCAUUAGAUGUAUAGACUCCCUAUACUAGUGAUUUUUUCUGGGAUGUGCCAUCAACCAUUUAUUCUCUCAUUAUUUAUUCAACAGCAAUGGUAAAGUGCAUCCUUAAAUCUAAACCCCUGUUACACUUCCCUUUCUGUGCACAGUGACAGUUGUUUAGGCUUCAGGCCGUAGUCCAACACCACCAGCCUACUUCCUUCCUUUGCAAUAUUGAUGGGCUUCAGUCCCCUCAGACCUUUUAAAUGCCAGGCCUGAAGUGGGACGGGUAACUCCAGAGGGGAUGUGUGUGUGUGUGUGUGUGUGUGUUCCCUGUUUUAUUCUUAAGGUAAGCUUUUAGUAUUUCCUGUUUUACUUUCUACUUCCUGUGUCUGCAGCGACGCCUUGUUGUCUCACCUGUAUCUCAUAGCUCGUCACUCAGUGUGUACUAAACCAUGUCCACAAAGAGCUGAGUUUAUUUAUGUGUAUCCACAAAAGUUUUUUAUUGUUCAGAGCCAGUGUUUUAGGAGCCUUAGGGCCUGAUCUACUAAGAUCCCAAAUAAAGAGCGCUAAAGAGCGUGUGCAAAGAAAAAAAACUGCUAUUAGUAGGCGUGUUGCGGGUGGGCUAAUAACAUUGCGCCCACCCUCUUUAAACCAAGGAUUUUGUGUGCGCUAUCGGCCGUCACCAUGGAGAGUUUGUGAGAGUAGAGUGAUCGUAGAUUAAACAAUAAGCCUGAAGCCGUGGAGUUGCACCCAUCAUUUUGGGGAAGCCAGCAACUGCAUAAAAGGCAAGGGAAGUGUGUUUGUCUAGAACCAUUUAUACACAAGGCAAUUCAAAGUGCUUUACAAAUGCAAGAAAAUAUUUUAGAAAUGAAAAAAAGAUCCAGACAAUUUAAAAUCAAUAAGACAAAGAAAUAAAUUUUUGCGACUGUUACGUGUUUGACCUAAUUAUUCAUCAAAACUGUCAUUCACUAGAAAAACGCUUUUGUACUUUUGCCUCCUUCUACCUGCAAUGACUGCAGCUAUUUGUGUGUAAUAUUGUGCCAGUUUGCACGUGCCUUUCAAACGUGCCAAAUAUUGACACAAAACAGUGACCGCAAUUGGUUUCCGGGCGUGAUACAUCACAUUGCGGGUGCUAAAUGAUUCUAUUUGCAUCUGCUCCUCCCAGAAGUUUGCUCGUUCUGAUGAUCUACAUACAAUCUGCACAUUUUAUGAAGGCAAACACGCUAACUCGAUUGCAUGUGCUGUUUUACUAAUUUGACAGGCGCAAUACUCGGUGCACCCGGUUAGUAGAUCAGCUUUUCGUGUGCUAUCAAGUUUGCACCUGUUUUUGCACACACAAACCUUUAGUAGAUCAGGCCCUUAAUACGCUAAUUUUUGAAACCAUGUCCUAGAGUGAGCAAAUCGAAAGAUGACACCCUCGCGUUUCUGUGUUUACAACCCAGACGCAUCUUUCCUGAACCGAUGAUGUCAGUUCUUCUUCUGAAUGUGUUCGUUUACAAGGCUGGAGUUUUAUGUGCAUACUCCAUGUCUUAUUCUCUGGUUUUGUUGUAUAUCUGUGGCAGCGUUACAGCACCUCCUUUAACCCUUACUUUGUACUUGUGGUUUUCCUGGUGUCUUUUUGUUUGACAUCUUUAGGAUAAGUUUUUAUGUUUUCCCCUUUUCUUUAUUAAACCUUCAAGUGCCGGCACACAAGUCUUUCUUUGAAAUUUGUUCGUUACUGUUCACUGUGAAAUUUCAAUAACGAGAAAGGCAAGUCCAUUGCAGUGGCUCUAGAGGGGUGGUGCUUUUACAGCUCGUGACUGGCCAUGAUGGGCAUUGCAUGUCGUGGCAGUAGAGGUGGCUCUAUUCUCUGUGUCUCUCACCGAUAAAGCCUAAUAAGAGCACAGACAUGUCGGUGACCUGUCAACAAAAUAGUUUGAGUUCCCCCCAGGCCGGCAUCCAAAAUCUGACCUUUAAGCCUGUGCUCCAGAGACUGUGGUUGAAAAAAGGUUGAGAGGAGAGCUCAGCAUCCCUUUUUACCCACAACACAAGUCCACCACACUCCUAACCUCACAAUCAUGCACCGCAGUAUAUAAUAAACCUUGUUUGAAGUACAUUAACCUGGCUUGCAACAAUACUAAUGUGCCCCCUGAGGGGGCAGCUGGCUUUAUUGAAUUCCUGUUUCUUGGAUGUAUCACUCCUGAGUGUUAAGUGCUCUCAUUUUAAGUUAGCAGGCAUAUAUGGACACCUUUUGUUAUCUGUAGUUUUUUUUCUUUUUUCACCCCUUUUUUUCUAUUGGACUACCUCUGGAUUAAAUGGACACCAACAAAAAACAUGAACAAGUCAAAAUCCUGCCCUUUUUUCCAAACUAUUUUCAUACAUUUUCCUGACAUAAUUAGUCACAACAACCUUAAAUUGAGACCCUCAAAACCUGCUUUGAAUGAAUCACAUUUAAUAAAAAAAAAACUAUGUGCCUGAAACAAUUUUGGAUUCAUAAUACAGGCAGGGAAAAACAUUUUAUAUUGUGUUUUUUUCAUCUUAAUUCAAAAAUGAGUGUUGAUAAAAGGUGAAUGGUAAAUGGACUUGUACAUGUUGAGUGAUUUUCUAAUCUUUCUGACCACUCAAAAUGCUUUUACACCUGUCAAGACAUCUACCCGUUCACAAUGCGUUCAUACCUCUACAGCACAGGUUGCUUUAGCACAAGGAUGGACCAUUUCUAUUGAUGUGCAUUCACAAACAGCUCACUGUGUCACCAAAAGCAAUGUGGGGUCCAGUGUCAUGCCCAAGGAUGCUUACCUUGUACCUGAUGUUGUUUAGUAUAUUUGUAAAUAUUCAUAAGCCUUUUCACAAUAAAGGGUCAUUUUGAGUCAUUACUAGGCCUGGGAAACAACCAUGCUUCUGCAGAAAGUGUAGCUUCGUUAAGUUAAGUAUAACAUAGAAUUUAAAAGAAUUUAAAAGCCUCAUUUGUGUUUUAUCUGUCAUCAUUGUUGGUCUGCCUCGCUUUGUGUUGAUGCAUAAAGUUUUUGAAAUAUAUCAAAAUGAAUUGAUUAGAUAUACUCAAACAGAGCUGAAUUAGUUUAAAUAGGUUGAUAAAAACUGUUAGAGAUGCUUCCAAGCAGGUUAAAUCCAUGGAUCUAUCAAUCAAAAUGGCCAGCAUAUUGAUAUUCUUGCCAAAUAUAACCUGGUUUAACAUCAUAAAUCUGUAUAUCACAUAAUCAUACAGCCCUGAUUCAGCAAACACUGCCAAGAGAGUCUGUUUACUCACUGAUUGCCUGAUAGCAUCAAUAACAACACUCCUGAAGACAACUGUUGUCCUGCUAAUAUGCACAUGGUGAAUUAUUGCAGCACAAAGGGGAGACAGAGAGGCGUGUGUGUGUGUGUGUGUGUGUGUGUGUGUGUGUGUGUGUGUGUGUGUGUGUGUGUGUGUGUGUGUGUGUGUGUGUGUGUGUGUGUGUGUGUGUGUGGCCCCGGCGCCAGAGGAAAGUAGCUGGUGAGGCAAUGGGUUUUUGAGGGUGGGCCAUGAUGGAAGAAUUUGUUUGAACUUUCUAUUACAAUAAAGGACUUACAUUGAAUUGUUUGCUCCACAUUUAAUUUAGCAAGUUACAGUGGCAGGGUAAACUUUCCUUUUACAGGCAGAAACCUUGAGAAAAAACAGACUCAUGUCAGACAGUCAUCUGCCUCUACUGCACUGGGUUAAGAGAAGGGAGAGAGGGACAUGCAGAAAGAGAGAAAUGGACAGAGGUAAAAUUGAUGCUUGUAGCUAUAAAGCAGCUGGAAAGCAGGCAGGUCAAUGGUAGCUAAACUUCUGAAGCAGCGAUCCAGAGGAACCUACAGCAUGAUGGAGCUCAGAGACAGUUUAAGAAACAAACAAAAAAGCAUUUAAUGCUCAUAAGCAUGUUUAAAUAAGCGUAUGAUUAAAUAACAAAUCGGACUUAAAAAUCAGGAGCGAUCCAUACCCCCAAUUUCCACUGCAUUCGGAACAGCUCCACUGCGAAACAGCGGCAAUUUUCGCCAUCCGCCAAUUCCGGAUUUACCACAUGUGGUAUUACCAAUACUAGAUGCCUUUGUGAGGCGACUUUCAUGGUGGAUUUCAUACAGCAGAAAUCGCAAGAACUCACAGAAACCCGCGGAUUCACAUGCUAUCGCGUGAUAACGAGUUGUCUCAAUAAAGACAGCCACAUAUAUAAUAUAUAUGUGUAUAUAAGCAGUAGAUUGUGUGCUUUCAGAGGAGGAAAUACACUUCUAGACUUCUACAAUCAGCAUCUCCUCAUCCAUGGUGUCAUCGGGGUGAAAUGAAGUCUGAAAACCUUUCACUAGUUCAUCUCUGCACAUGUUUGCAUGGUGUGAAGUACAAUCCGCCUGAAACACGUAGGGCUCUAUUUUCAUGUUCCCUGGGGACGUGGCGGACCCCGCGCAGUGGUCUUUUCAUCUGGCGGGGCAUGGCAUACAGCCAGUUUGUUAUUUUUGUGGGCUGAGGCGCACCGAGGUCCACCAAGCUGGGCGUGGUGGCGUGGCAGGGGGAGGUGCCGACAGAAUCAGCGGGCGCAGUGACAUUUUCGUGCUCGCUGGUGGCAUAUAAAUUGCGCGAAAGCUCGCCGAUUCAAACCUGGUCAGCUUUCAGCGCAGGCGGAGCACAGCUGGUCCAGUGGUAUUUUGAUAGACCGGCGGCGUAUCGGCAUAUGUCACCGAUGCCUCACCGGCAGGUUUCCACAGUGUCAGGCACAUUUCAGUGCAAUAAAUAAUCAUCAACAACUAAUAAUCUGAGUCAGCACAUACAUUUAGAUCUAUAUCGAUAUAUUCUGAUCUACAUCUGAUCUAAUGAGCGUGUUUGGCACGCGUUUGGACACACAACCUGACCGAAUUAACACAGCUGAAACCGCAUUAAAUUAAAUUAAAUAUCUAGUAAAUAAAAACACAUGAUGAAGUUAACAAGAUAUGUGAUUCGUCUCCCUCCUUUUCUAUCUUCCUCUUAUUUCUCACGCAGCUCGACCUGGACAUGUCUCCGUGUCCUCUCUCCGUCCUGCAGCGGCUGAACAGAUGAUUUGUUUCAGUGCUCAGAUGAGUUAUUUACCUUAAACCUACAUACGGAUAUUAUAAUAUUCAGUUUUGUGAGCCAAAUUUAUUUUAUAUGCCAACAUCUAUGAAAGAAAGAGCCAGGCCACGGAGCGCGAUGCGUCAUUUACGCACAGAUGGUUCAGAUUUUAAUGCCAUUAUUGGAAUUUAUGUUGGGAUCUGUGCGCACAACCCACCUUUGUCACGUGAGGUUUGAAUAUGUGCAACUUUAUGUGGGUGUAUUUAUUUGUGGAAAAGGGCAUUUGUCUUACUAGUGAGUCCAACAUUACACACACCAAAUUCAUCUGUGGUCAUAUGAGAGAGUGUGGAGGACGCCCAAUGCAGCGCUUACAGUGACACUUGUUGAGGAGCUGCCUUCUGUCGCCAUCUUGUGGCAUUACUGUCUUCAGACAUCUCUUGAUCUCUUUGACUACUUCACGAAAAUAGUAAUAAGCCUCGCCGGUGGCGGAGUUAAAGGCGAGGAGAGGAGCUGAUGUUAUUGGUCAAUACAGGUCUUGGCUGUGUUAAACCCACUCCACGCCC
Non-coding RNA from Xyrichtys novacula (pearly razorfish), 10015 nucleotides. The record is from the annotation of a GenBank genome assembly. Lineage: Eukaryota; Metazoa; Chordata; Actinopteri; Labriformes; Labridae.